This 84-nucleotide transfer RNA is filed under the name Candidatus Yonathbacteria bacterium RIFOXYC2_FULL_47_9. Its description in RNAcentral is "tRNA-Leu". It matches the Rfam family "tRNA". From Rfam's summary of the family: Transfer RNA (tRNA) molecules are approximately 80 nucleotides in length. Their secondary structure includes four short double-helical elements and three loops (D, anti-codon, and T loops). Further hydrogen bonds mediate the characteristic L-shaped molecular structure. tRNAs have two regions of fundamental functional importance: the anti-codon, which is responsible for specific mRNA codon recognition, and the 3' end, to which the tRNAs corresponding amino acid is attached (by aminoacyl-tRNA synthetases). tRNAs cope with the degeneracy of the genetic code in two manners: having more than one tRNA (with a specific anti-codon) for a particular amino acid; and 'wobble' base-pairing, i.e. permitting non-standard base-pairing at the 3rd anti-codon position. The record is from RNAcentral. Lineage: Bacteria; Candidatus Yonathiibacteriota. RNAcentral also lists the same sequence under 1 other name.
GCCCGGGUGGUGGAAUGGUAUACACAGGAGACUUAAAAUCUCCCGCCGCAAGGCUUGUGGGUUCGAGUCCCACCCCGGGCACAA